CCAAUAGCGUAUAUUAAAGUUGUUGCAGUUAAAAAGCUCGUAGUUGAAUUUCGGGAUCAAGUCGUCGGUCGUGCCUCGGUACGCACUGGUGACAUUGGUUUCUCCCUUCUGAAGAACCUUGAUGUCAUUAAUUUGGUGUCUUGGGGAAUCAGGACUGUUACUUUGAAAAAAUUAGAGUGUUUAAAGCAGGCUCACGCUUGAAUACAUUAGCAUGGAAUAAUGAAAUAGGACGUUUGAUUCUAUUUUGUUGGUUUCUAGGAUCGACGUAAUGAUUAAUAGGGAUAGUUGGGGGCAUUAGUAUUCAAUUGUCAGAGGUGAAAUUCUUGGAUUUAUUGAAGACUAACUACUGCGAAAGCAUUUGCCAAGGAUGUUUUCAUUAAUCAAGAACGAAAGUUAAGGGAUCGAAGACGAUCAGAUACCGUCGUAGUCUUAACCAUAAACUAUGCCGACUAGGGAUCGGAUGAUGUUAAUUUUUUAAUGACUCAUUCGGCGCCUUACG
This 499-nucleotide ribosomal RNA is filed under the name uncultured Glomeromycotina. RNAcentral describes it as "partial small subunit ribosomal RNA". It matches the Rfam family "Eukaryotic small subunit ribosomal RNA", at positions 591 to 1092 of the family's 1831-position model. The record is from RNAcentral. Lineage: Eukaryota; Fungi; Glomeromycota.